RNAcentral lists this long non-coding RNA (679 nucleotides) under Macaca mulatta (Rhesus monkey). RNAcentral describes it as "lncRNA (ENSMMUG00000057567.1)". Lineage: Eukaryota; Metazoa; Chordata; Mammalia; Primates; Cercopithecidae. The record is from RNAcentral.
UUCUCAUUGAACCUUUAUUAAAAUAAAAACAGGUAUUUCAUAUUCAAAAUGACUUACAGGUAUGUACAUUUCAUAAGAUGUCAAAUGCAUACAGUAUAAGUAAAGUAUUUGGGAGAUUUUUGUUUUCAAAACCAAAUUCUGAAUCACUGAUUAAAAUUAUAGUCACACUAUAUGUUAUAUUUAUAUAACAUUUUGGUUUUAAGCUGAUAAAACAGAAUUGGGCAUAAGAACAUUAACUUAAGAAAAAUGAAAGGAGGUAACAUUUAUUGCAUGCUGUUUUGAGCAUUGUGCUAUGCACUAUAAAUAACCUAUUUUUACCCCCUCGUAAAGUUGGUGUUAUUGUCUCCCAUUAACAGAUGAGAGAACUGAGGCUCAAGAGAUGUAAGGAACUUGCCUGAAGUCAUGGAGCUACUUGUGCCAUUUACUGUGAGGAGAAGAAAAUCAAAUUCAGAGAGGUAGAGGAACAUCAAUUAUGGAAAGCUGUGAAUGCCAGAGUGAAUAAAUAAGUGGAUGAAUAGGGCAAGUUCCAGUUGGAUUGUGCUAAUGCACAUAUUCAUGAAUCUCUCCAAACAGGAUUCACUGCUCUCCAGGGAACCCUUGAAGUAUGCAUCAUUGUUUCAAUGAAGUAUCUUCAUUAUAAAACAUAGAGCCUAUAAAAGGUGAAUACCAUUUGCCACUG